Long non-coding RNA from Chrysolophus pictus (golden pheasant), 1280 nucleotides. The record is from Ensembl. NCBI's taxonomy places the organism in Eukaryota, Metazoa, Chordata, Aves, Galliformes, Phasianidae.
CACCUUUCAGACUUGCUACAGAUUGACUUUAUUGUCCUCAGUAGCCUACUUCAUAUCCACGUCUCAUCUCCAUCAUACCCAAGAGGGGUGGUUAUAACAUAAUCACAGCAGAAACUGUGGGACUUGUUAUCUACAGAGCUCUUUGCAAAUAUAAGCUGCCUCAAAAAAUAUGAAUUCUUGUGUAUCUCCUUCAAAAUAAAAUAGCAUAACCUGGUAAUUUCCCACAGUUUCUCAAGAGAAAGGAAUUCUAAGGAAUGUCCUGAGUGACUCAAUUUGGAGGCUUUGCACAGAAUCUGUGAUCCCAGAUAAGCAAGAUUAGCCAGAUUCAUGAGUUACUGCAAGUCACUCAACCAUUCCAGUGCUUUGGCCCCUCACAAGGAUACUAGCUAUCUGUUAACAAUCACAAAUAUUCUGGUUCUUUCAGAACCUUGAGUAAGCAGCAGUAACUCCUGCAAGUGUUUGAACCUUGAUGCCAGCGUUCUCAUGCCACACUGUGUUAGACAUCUAGAUAACUGUGCUGAUCAUGUAUUUCCUCUUGCCUAGGCCUUUCAGGAAUGAACAAGCAUUCCCUUGUAUACUGCUAUGAUUCCCAUGACUCGAUGGUCACACUUAAUUAACCACUAGAUUGUUUGAGAGCUGGUUACAUUUCAUUUCAUUAAGUGAUUUCAUGAUCACCAGAGGUACACUGACAGCCUUGUUAACUGAAGCUAUGUGAAAAGAUCCAGCGGAGACAACAGUAACAUUCUGCAGCAUUUCCUCAUUUGUGAUUUUCCAGGCGCUGCUCAGAGUACAGUUGGUUACAUUUCCAUUCCUGUUUAGUUUUUUGGCACAAGGCUAUCUCAGUCUUGAGGUCGACCACAGUGAGAUGGCGCAGCCCCAGGGUGCGAAAGAUGAUAUACGUGCGCUGCAGUGAGAAGUGGGCUUGGACUGACAUGGCCGAUUUGUUUAUGUAUGGCUCCUGUAAGACAAAGAGGGGAGACAUGAGGAGAAUACAAAAAUAGUUGGCUUCAGCCUUACCAGAUUGAUGAAGAGUUGCUGAUACCGGGGAUCUGUAGUGUAGCGAUUCAGCAGCAUGGCCAGGCGCGACGGCUUGGGCAGCUUCUCCACUGUUAUCUGGAACAGGCAAGAAUCCAUUUCUCUUUCUUUCUGCACUGCACAUUAGAACCCACAGUUCAAAAGCCUUCCAGUUUGUCUCUAAGAAAAAGUUUUCUAGGAGAGCUACUCUGGCAGAGCUUGUCCUUUUUAAAUUCUUCUGCCAAUCAAGCUUAAACUAGCACUCA